This 246-nucleotide ribosomal RNA is filed under the name uncultured bacterium. RNAcentral's name for it is "partial 16S ribosomal RNA". It matches the Rfam family "Bacterial small subunit ribosomal RNA", at positions 523 to 769 of the family's 1533-position model. The record is from RNAcentral.
AUACGUAGGUGGCAAGCGUUGCCCGGAUUUAUUGGGCGUAAAGCGAGCGCAGGCGGUUUUUAAGUCUGAUGUGAAAGCCUUCGGCUCAACCGAAGAAGGGCAUCGGAAACUGGGAGACUUGAGUGCAGAAGAGGAGAGUGGAACUCCAUGUGUAGCGGUGAAAUGCGUAGAUAUAUGGAAGAACACCAGUGGCGAAGGCGGCUCUCUGGUCUGUAACUGACGCUGAGGCUCGAAAGCGUGGGUAGC